GCCCCCAGCACUCUGCAGACAGAUCCUGAAUUUGUUCCCCUUUCGCAUGAGAGUUCACGUGUGUAAGUGGCAGAGCUGGGAUUCCGACUUUUGCCAAGUCACCUGAUGCUCAUUACCGCGACAUCGUGGCUCCCAACGCACAGGGCCCUGCCCUGGGGAGAGGCUGGGACAAAAGUGACCCUUGCCCUUCCGAAGCUCACACUCCAGUGUGUGUUGAGAAGAAUGUAGAUUUCACUCUUCUUUCUCGUGCCAUUGUUUUUAUGAAUACCAGUUAGGUGAGAAUACCAGUUCUAUGAAUACCAGUUACCUGGAGUGGUGUGUGGUUUUUGAGUUUGUGCCAGGACGUUUGUGGUUAUAUCUCUGGGACGUCAGCGGGUCUGAUCAUAUUGGUUUUCACGUUUUGUCUGGGAGUGCUAACACAAGAUUCUCUUUCUUCCCCUCAGGGGCGUGAACAAAGACACAGGAAGCGGUCCAAGCUGCUGAAAGUCCUUUUGGGACUGGGAGAGGAAAAGUUUGCUGACGUUAGAGUCAUCACCAAGCACACGGAGCAGAAAAGUGAAGAGAGAAGCCGGAUCCUGGUGACCUCACUGGGCUCCUGGAUCAUGCCUCACCUGAAGCAGAUCCAGCCCUGGAUUUUACAGUCACAAAAGUCAGUUUGAGUCAGGCGUCCAUUGGAAGACGGAGCUUACAGUUCAGGAGGCUGCGGGGGCCACGGUUGGUUUGGGAAAGUCUCUUCCGAGUCCCAGUUUGCCACGCGGUCUUUUCGUGACCUCUCUUCUCCAGGUCUCAGGUUCUUUAUCUGUAACAUGAGAAAUUCAGAUAGAAACAGCAGUAAUGAUGAGGAUGAUGGUCACGAUCACCACUUAUCAGGCAUGUUCUGCUUGCCACCUGCUCAUCUGCUCUGCUGAGGGGGUCGCAUAUUGCUUUAGAUCGCGGGCUUCCUGUUGUGUUGCCAGAAUUUGGAGAACUGGUCAGGUACCGCGCGCUGACCCGCCCUUGACGUUCAGAGGUCAGAAAGCGUCCCGAACAACGAUUUAGGCUUUGAAACGCAGCCCUGUGCCUGACAACUGUUGGACCACGGGCAAGUUACUUGACCUCUCUGAACCGCAGCUGUCAAAUGAGGAUCGGACUUGGUAGUUCCUGUCUCCCAGGGUGGUGGGCGAGACUCAGGAAGCCCGUGCGUGAGAAAUGCUUAGCACGGCGUCUGGCAUCCG
RNAcentral lists this long non-coding RNA (1214 nucleotides) under Felis catus (domestic cat). RNAcentral describes it as "lncRNA (ENSFCAG00000045656.2)". The record is from RNAcentral. Lineage: Eukaryota; Metazoa; Chordata; Mammalia; Carnivora; Felidae.